CGGUGGUGGAAGCGGAGGUGGUGGAAGUGGCAAAGGUGGAAACGGAGGUGGUGGAAGCGGAGGUGGUGGGAGCGGAGGUGGUGGAAGUGGCAAAGGUGGAAUCUAGGACCUUGGAACACUGAGUUCUUAGCCCAGCCCAAAAUGCUUGUUGGUCGCAGGCGCGAGAUUUCGGAAGAAGACGACAAUGUCAAGUCGCAUUCUAGUUUGCUUUUCCCUUUCCCUGAAAAAAAAUAUCCAGUUAAAGCCGAGUUAUUUGUGUUUAUUUUAAUUUCAUGUUAUUUACCUGAAGUGUAUGUUCUUUAUGUUUUUCAUAUGAAUUCUUUCUUACAAUGUCAGACUUGGGAUUUCGAAAUGUAUCUGUAUAUGUCAGUUUGCCUUUAUCAUAUUGCAUAUUAUACACUUUCGUCAUGUUUACAUAAGAUAAUAUAAAUAGGGAAAAUCUGAAUAGCAAUCCAUUGAAGGUGGUGGCAGUGUUCACCGAAACUGUUUGAUUAAAAAUAUAACUCUAUUGUCUGCCA
This is a long non-coding RNA of Eriocheir sinensis (Chinese mitten crab), 518 nucleotides long. RefSeq lists it as uncharacterized. NCBI's taxonomy places the organism in Eukaryota, Metazoa, Arthropoda, Malacostraca, Decapoda, Varunidae. The transcript has 2 exons. The record is from RefSeq and is a predicted model, not a curated record.